This is a long non-coding RNA of Nerophis lumbriciformis (worm pipefish), 906 nucleotides long. RefSeq lists it as uncharacterized. The record is from RefSeq and is a predicted model, not a curated record. NCBI's taxonomy places the organism in Eukaryota, Metazoa, Chordata, Actinopteri, Syngnathiformes, Syngnathidae.
GCUGUAGAAGAAGUCUGUCAGUACGCGGUAUGAAAAAAAGCAGAUGCAUCAAGCUCCGGUUGGAACGCUGUUUUAAUUGUUUUGCAGCUCGAUCCUGAAAAAUAAAUGUGUCGCACAACGAAAGAGUUGGCCCAUCUUUCGAGCCGUGUAACAGUUGGAUGAAACGUUGGUACACUGAGACAAGACGUCAUCAGUGUUUGAACCUGACACUCACCUGCAGAAGUCGGGCGCCACCAUGCCGUAGACAUUGAUCCUAUCGCACAGCUCCAGGGCAAUGGUCAUCGUGAACCAGCCGGUGCUCAGCCACGAGUUCGAUAUCCUCCUGCAAGAGUGGGCGGCGGUUAGAUGGAUGCAGUUGGGUCAGCAGGCUGCCAUGUUUGAUCUGUGUCACAUGAGGUGAUGAAGUGAGAUACAUGGUCUACAUGCCGGGAGUACAGCAGAAUAAAGACCAUCUAAAUCUAGCGCUCGAUUCCACGCUGACCCGCAGAUCAAUCACGCCGCCUCACAGCUUCAUUCGAAUAUGCAUCAGUCGCACAUAUCGACUCAUACGAAUGAAAGCUGCAUGUCAAAUAAUCAACCUUAGCCUUGCUCUGCAUGCGGCAAAGAAAGAGCGUUAAUUGACGAAUGACCUGCUCGCUUUUAAGUCCCACAAAAGCUUUUAAUGCACUUUCUCCCAAACAGAAAUGAUGUUUACUUACGCUUUUGAAAAUCUCUUUUAAAAAAAGUCUUCCCUCGCUGGCAAAUGAAAGAUUGAGCAGGAUUUGGGAGGGCUUAAUGGCCAUGAAAAUCUGACUUCAGUUAAAAGCAGUGGUCUUUUCCGAGCCAAAGACCCCUAAACUGAUGGAGAGAUGGAGUGGGCACCCCCCUACUUAUUUAUCUUGUAUGAAGUUAUUUUAAAUAGUGCUG